This 370-nucleotide ribosomal RNA is filed under the name Areopaguristes sp. USNM 1544518. Its description in RNAcentral is "partial small subunit ribosomal RNA". The record is from RNAcentral. Lineage: Eukaryota; Metazoa; Arthropoda; Malacostraca; Decapoda; Diogenidae.
UACCCUUUUAUACUUAGAUAGAAUUUGUUUUUGCUAGAGCAGUAGUAGAUAUAUUCUUAAAAUUUAAAAAAUUUGGCGGUACUUUAAUCUAGUUAGAGGAACCUGUUUUUUUAAAACGAUAAACCACGAAAUAUCUUACUUGUUUUAAGCCUGUAUACCGUCAUUGUCAGAUAAUUUUUAGAGAAAAAAUUAUUUAAAUUUAACAGAUUAAAUUAUAUUAGAUCAAGGUGCAGCCGAUAAACAAGAAAAAAUGGGUUACAAUAAAUUUAUUUAAAACGGAAUUAUACCUUGAAAGGGGUUUAGGAAGGAGGAUUUAAUUGUAUAGAAUUUUUAAUAUGUAUUUUAGAAAUUAGCUCUAAAGUAUGUACAU